CCCGCUGAACUUAAGCAUAUCAAUAAGCGGAGGAAAAGAAACUAACAAGGAUUCCCCUAGUAACGGCGAGUGAAGCGGGAAGAGCUCAAAUUUGAAAUCUGGCAGUCUUUGAUUGUCCGAGUUGUAAUCUAGAGAAGCGUUUUCCGCGCUGGACUGUGUACAAGUUUCCUGGAUACGGAACAUCAUAGAGGGUGAGAAUCCCGUCCUUGACACAGACUCCCUAGUGCUUUGUGAUGCGCUCUCGACGAGUCGAGUUGUUUGGGAUUGCAGCUCAAAAUGGGAGGUAAAUUCCUUCUAAAGCUAAAUAUUGGCGAGAGACCGAUAGCGAACAAGUACCGUGAGGGAAAGAUGAAAAGAACUUUGAAAAGAGAGUUAAACAGUGCGUGAAAUUGUUGAAAGGGAAACGCUUGACACCAGUCAUGCGAGCGGAAAAUCAGUCUUUUGCGGUGGGGAGUUGUGUGGGUUCGGACCGCAAGGCCGGCCUGCGCUUCAUCUCUGCUGUAAGUGAUGCACUUUUUCGUUUGCAGGCCAACAUCAGUUUCUUCUGCUGGACAAAACUCUUGAGAAGGUAGCAGCUUAGGCUGUGUUAUAGCUCUUGAGCGAUACAGUGGAGGAGACUGAGGUUUUCGCAGCGCGUGCUUUCGGGCAAGGCUGAUUGGGUGCUAUGGGAUCGUUCGGUGUACAAUGCAUGCAUUUUGCGCCGUGUCUUUUCUAUACUCGCUCAACUCGGCUCUUCCGCGCUUAGGAUGUUGGCUUAAUGGUUUUAAUCGACCCGUCUUGAAACACGG
This 788-nucleotide ribosomal RNA is filed under the name uncultured fungus. Its description in RNAcentral is "eukaryotic LSU rRNA". It matches the Rfam family "Eukaryotic large subunit ribosomal RNA", at positions 24 to 664 of the family's 3401-position model. Lineage: Eukaryota; Fungi. The record is from RNAcentral.